Molecule: ribosomal RNA, 403 nt
Filed under: uncultured bacterium
Lineage: Bacteria
Description: bacterial SSU rRNA
Rfam family: Bacterial small subunit ribosomal RNA
Source: RNAcentral
GUAGGGAAUAUUGGACAAUGGGGGAAACCCUGAUCCAGCAAUGCCGCGUGAGUGAAGAAGGCCUUAGGGUUGUAAAGCUCUUUCGCCCACGAAGAUAAUGACGGUAGCGGGAGAAGAAGCCCCGGCUAACUCCGUGCCAGCAGCCGCGGUAAUACGGAGGGGGCUAGCGUUGUUCGGAAUUACUGGGCGUAAAGCGUACGUAGGCGGAUGCGCAAGUUGGGGGUGAAAUCCCGGGGCUUAACCUCGGAAUUGCCCUCAAAACUGCACGUCGUGAGACCGAGAGAGGUCAGGGGAAUUCCUAGUGUAGAGGUGAAAUUCGUAGAUAUUAGGAAGAACACCAGUGGCGAAGGCGCCUUACUGGCUCGGUACUGACGCUGAGGUACGAAAGCGUGGGGAGCAAACA